RNAcentral lists this ribosomal RNA (857 nucleotides) under uncultured bacterium. RNAcentral's name for it is "bacterial SSU rRNA". It matches the Rfam family "Bacterial small subunit ribosomal RNA", at positions 20 to 906 of the family's 1533-position model. The record is from RNAcentral.
UGGCUCAGGACGAACGCUGGCGGCAUGCUUAACACAUGCAAGUCUAGGGGCACUUCGGUGUCACUGGCGCACGGGUGAGUAACACGUAGGUUAUCUGCCCCUAUCACAGACACAACCCCGGGAAACCGGGGCUAAUAUCUGAUGAGGUCCACGGAUCAAAGCUUCGGCGGAUAGGGAUGAGCCUGCGGCUGAUUAGCUAGUUGGUGGGGUAAUGGCCCACCAAGGCAACGAUCAGUAGCUGGUCUGAGAGGACGAACAGCCACACUGGAACUGAGACACGGUCCAGACUCCUACGGGAGGCAGCAGUGAGGAAUAUUGGUCAAUGGGCGCAAGCCUGAACCAGCAAUGCCGCGUGUGGGAUGACGGCGCUUUGCGUUGUAAACCACUGUCGGACGGGACGAAAGGGAGCCUUUGGCUCCUGGGACGGUACCGUCAAAGGAAGGGUCGGCUAACUACGUGCCAGCAGCCGCGGUAAUACGUAGGACCCAAGCGUUGUCCGGAUUCACUGGGUAUAAAGGGUGCGUAGGCGGUCUUGUGCGUCAGAGGUGAAAUCUCCGGGCUUAACCCGGAGGGUGCCUUUGACACGGCAGGACUUGAGUGCAGGAGAGGAUGAUGGAAUUCCUGGUGUAGCGGUGAAAUGCGUAGAUAUCAGGAGGAACACCGGUGGCGAAGGCGGUCAUCUGGUCUGCAACUGACGCUGAGGCACGAAAGCGCGGGGAUCAAACAGGAUUAGAUACCCUGGUAGUCCGCGCCCUAAACGAUGUAUGCUUGGUGUUGGGCCCGCAAGGGUUCAGUGCCGUAGGGAAUCUGAUAAGCAUACCACCUGGGGAGUACGAUCGCAAGGUUGAAACUCAAAG